Molecule: long non-coding RNA, 336 nt
Filed under: Panax ginseng (ginseng)
Lineage: Eukaryota; Viridiplantae; Streptophyta; Magnoliopsida; Apiales; Araliaceae
Description: long non-coding RNA (PGIN_LNC016751)
Source: RNAcentral
UUUGUGAUGUGCUAGUUAAGUAGAAAAUACUUAAGAAAUUGUUUAACUAUCUAAUAACUGUAUUUUAGCCAGAGAAUGCCUCCGAGAAGACGUCAACCACAACAAUGAACCCCUGAGGGGUCUACCAUUAACAACAACGUCGAUGCUAACCUAGUUUAGCAAUUGGUGACAUUAUUGACGAGAGCACUUCAGAAUCAGUCGCAGAACCAAAUAGCUAUCUUCAAAGAUUUUAAGGUAGUUGGACCACCAGAGUUUCGUGGGUCCAUGAAUCCAGUUGAGGCACAGACUUGGAUCAUAGAAAUAGAGAAAAUUUUUGACGUUGUUAGAGUACCUGUG